RNAcentral lists this small RNA (308 nucleotides) under Drosophila virilis. RNAcentral's name for it is "GJ26651". The record is from RNAcentral. Lineage: Eukaryota; Metazoa; Arthropoda; Insecta; Diptera; Drosophilidae.
CUGCCGGAGCUUGUUCAAGAUCAGAGUUGAAGAGACAACGCUUUAGCACAAAACCAAUUAAAACAAUCAACAUGCAAUUGAUCAAGAUCUGCGGCUUUGUUUUUGCCAUGAUUGUGGCCCUGGCCAGCGCCGAGCCAGAACCUCAAGGCACGCUGCUGAUACAAACCAACAAUGCUCAGGGCAUUUUCACGGGCUAGAAAUGUUACAAAGAACACAAACAUACCUUAAAAAUAUCUUUUGAUCUAACUUAAACACAAACUUUCCUUAAAAAAUGACAUUAAAAACUCUUAAAACUUAUCUGAAUGCAA